GAUGAACGCUGGCGGCGUGCCUAAUACAUGCAAGUCGAGCGAACAGACGAGGAGCUUGCUCCUCUGACGUUAGCGGCGGACGGGUGAAUAACACGUGGAUAACCUACCUAUAAGACUGGGAUAACUUCGGGAAACCGGAGCUAAUACCGGAUAAUAUAUUGAACCGCAUGGUUCAAUAGUGAAAGACGGUUUUGCUGUCACUUAUAGAUGGAUCCGCGCCGCAUUAGCUAGUUGGUAAGGUAACGGCUUACCAAGGCAACGAUGCGUAGCCGACCUGAGAGGGUGAUCGGCCACACUGGAACUGAGACACGGUCCAGACUCCUACGGGAGGCAGCAGUAGGGAAUCUUCCGCAAUGGGCGAAAGCUUGACGGAGCAACGCCGCGUGAGUGAGGAAGGUCUUCGGAUCGUAAAACUCUGUUACUAGGGAAGAACAAAUGUGUAAGUAACUAUGCACGUCUUGACGGUACCUAAUCAGAAAGCCACGGCUAACUACGUG
This 497-nucleotide ribosomal RNA is filed under the name uncultured bacterium. RNAcentral describes it as "partial 16S ribosomal RNA". It matches the Rfam family "Bacterial small subunit ribosomal RNA", at positions 28 to 507 of the family's 1533-position model. The record is from RNAcentral.